RNAcentral lists this ribosomal RNA (273 nucleotides) under uncultured bacterium. RNAcentral describes it as "partial 16S ribosomal RNA". It matches the Rfam family "Bacterial small subunit ribosomal RNA", at positions 524 to 796 of the family's 1533-position model. The record is from RNAcentral.
UACAGAGGUCCCAAGCGUUGUUCGGAUUCACUGGGCGUAAAGGGUGCGUAGGCGGUCGGAUAAGUCUGAUGUGAAAUCUUCGAGCUCAACUCGGAAACUGCAUUGGAUACUAUUCGGCUUGAGGUCUGGAGGGGGGACUGGAAUUCUCGGUGUAGCAGUGAAAUGCGUAGAUAUCGAGAGGAACACCAGUGGCGAAGGCGAGUCCCUGGACAGGUCCUGACGCUGAGGCACGAAAGCUAGGGGAGCAAACAGGAUUAGAAACCCCAGUAGUCC